AUUGAAGAGCUGGCUACCAGUGAGGAAGGAUCUCUUCUGGAGUCUGCUCUGCUAGAGUUUUCUAAGUAAGCCCAGGAUAGGGUUUCUUAACACUUCCAGAUAUAUUUUGGAAUACCAGAAAAGUUCUACUAAAAAGAAAUUCACUGUGGAAGAAUGAAAUGAAGUAUACAAGCAUGCUCAGAAGUAACCAAUGGAAGUUCAAGGCUUCGUGAGCUGCAGAUUGAAAAUCACUGUUGAAUGUAUAUAGAGUAAGAAAUUAAAGUAAUAAUUUGAUUGCAACAGUCAGAUGAAAAACGAAACCCUUAAAUCUGGUUGUCACAGACUUCAAAGAAAUCCUGCCAGCGAAUAUUGCUGAAGAAUUUUUUAUAAACAUUCAUAUUUACCUAAUUCCCUUCCUAUAUUUACCUCCUCUCACACAGUUGGAAUGUUUACAGAAAAGAUUUUACAAAUAGAGUGAAAGAGCAACAUUAGAAGAAGAAUUAAUUAGUUGUACCUCUCUAGAAGACUAAAGAAUAAAAAGACAACCUCCAAAGAGAGCUUCUACUGAGAUACUGACGGAACAUUUGAAGAGCGCAGCUGGUGGACAUGAAGCCUGAGAAUCGCAAGGUUGACUUUUAUCCUCACAUUACUGAAACACUCAUAACUCGUAUUCUUCACUUUUUUUCUGAACGAUUGCAUGGACAUUGCUUGUGUUCUAUUUCACCUAAGGAAGAAAAGGAAAGAGAAAUAAUAGCAGCUAGAUGCAACAAACCUGUGCCUAUAGCAGUUGGAAGAGGACUCUACAUCCUCGGUUUGGUUUACAGAGCUUUUGAUCUUGCAUAUCCCAGCAGAUGUGAAGGAUCCAUGUGCAGGUAUAAUAAUAUGUAGAGGAGAAGAAGAAAAAAAAGUCAUAACCAGAUUUUCUAAGCCAGGAAUAAUGAGAACAAAUGGAUGGAGCAUCAUUUCAGCCUGGGAGAAGAUACUAGUCCUGACUCUGAAAACAGAUUUCCACCAGCUGCCUGCAUGACGAACAGUACCUGAUUUUCAUCAGCUUAGGGCCUACAAAAAGAAUAAAAUCAAAGAUCUGUGCAGGA
Long non-coding RNA from Centrocercus urophasianus (Greater sage-grouse), 1073 nucleotides. RefSeq lists it as uncharacterized. NCBI's taxonomy places the organism in Eukaryota, Metazoa, Chordata, Aves, Galliformes, Phasianidae. The transcript is spliced from 9 exons. The record is from RefSeq and is a predicted model, not a curated record.